GAGGGUAUAGCUCAGUGGUAGAGUGCAUGCUUAGCAUGCAUGAAGUCCUGGGUUCAAUCCCCAGUCCCUCCA
Molecule: transfer RNA, 72 nt
Filed under: Camelus bactrianus (Bactrian camel)
Lineage: Eukaryota; Metazoa; Chordata; Mammalia; Artiodactyla; Camelidae
Also listed under: 2 other names
Rfam family: tRNA
About the family: Transfer RNA (tRNA) molecules are approximately 80 nucleotides in length. Their secondary structure includes four short double-helical elements and three loops (D, anti-codon, and T loops).
Source: Rfam by way of RNAcentral